CUGGCUCUGGUGAAUUCUCUCACCCUCCCGCGCUUCUGACUGUGCCCAGUGCUUGCAUAAAUAAAUAAAAAAAUAAACCUUAAAAAAAAAUUAGUUAUUAAACACUUUGGCCCACUUCACAAUGGGAGACAAUUUAUUGUACAUGCCUGACAAGCAAUCCAGCACAACAAUUAUAGUAAGUCCUUCCUUUGCUUUUUAGGAAUUUCUUGGGAAAGUUUUUAAAUGAAGCUAUUUGAGUUAAGGAGUUUCUAGGUAGAAAAAGUUCUGAUAGCUGAAUAGCAGCCGGUCCCCAGCUGAAGGCCAUGUGAAUAAGAAAAGUCUUUUCACGCUCAGGCUUUAGCUGAUAGGGAUGCACUGGUGGCUAUCCACUGUCUUAGGUAAUUGUCUAGCUGAAACAAUGAGUUUUAGUGUAAGUCUUAGUUUUUUAUCUAUUAACCUUGAAGGUUGCCUUCUUGCUGAGAGCACACAGCAGCCAAAAGUCUAUGGGGAAAGGGAUGCACUGAUUGUUUCUGCUUUGUUUCUAUGCAUAUGAUGAUGUAAUCUCUCGGCUUGCUAAAAUAUAAAUAAAGAACCUGCUGAGCCCCUCAGUAGGAGAUACUUGCACCCAAAAGAAGAGUGCGUGUCUGCUUCAUUCCCUUCCCUUCAGCCCUUAACGUGUUGCCUAGGCCGUCUCAUCCUUUCAGGAACCCCUGACACAACAUUUUGCCGAGGCUGGUCUGCGGCAAGUGGCGCCUGAACAGGGACUUGAAAGAUACUUUCUCUCAGACUUGAGGAGAUGCAUACCUGCUUUCCUGAGCCACCUGUCCAGGACCCCACAGCUCUUCAUACUGGACACGGUGGUCUCUGUCCACAUCCCUGACUCGCGGUCAUGGCUUUGCAUCAAUCUGUGAUCCUUAAAUCUGCCCCAAGCCCUGACCUCCACCCACCUUUCCCCACACACCACUUGGAACAUAACCCUGGAAACUCCCUGGUCCAAGGUGGCCCCAGAAUCUGUCCUGUCCACAGAUUUUCUGUCCCCCUGGACUGGUCCCUGGAUCCCCUCCUUGGUUUCCCUGCUCCUCCAUUCAGGCACCACAGACAUUUCCCUGGAAGCUGGGAAAGGCUCCUCCUCCGUGUCCUGGCAUCUCACCAGCCUGAGACCCGCCCUCCAGGCAGGGGCCUGACUGAGUGUUCAGACUUGUGAAAAGGAGUAGGGGCAGGAUGAGAGAUGCUGGGCAUGGGUAAGGGUGACUAAACCACAUCUCUCCCCUCCAACUGUGGGUGCAGGUCACUGUAGAGUAAAUGCUUUUCAGGCUUUUCUGCCCUCCCACCAUUAGCAUUGCCCUGCCUGAUGGGGCACCUGCAGUUGUUACAUUAUUGCAAACUAUCUUGUUUACUUCUGUGGGCCAUGGCAGGGGUAUUGAGAUAAUCACCAAGAGAAGCAGAAGCAGGAAAGAGAAGGGGAAAAAGAAGCCAGAGUAGCCCAGAGUGAAGACUUGCCGGGGGCUUAAAGGCCUCAUGGCCUUCUUACCCCUUGGCACUCCUGCCAGCCAAGUACCUGGUUGCUGCAAUGCAUGUAAAGCUCAAUAAAAAACUGAGAAACCACUGAGGGCUCCAGGACUCUUCUUUACCCAUCUGCUGGAUCAUAGAAACCUGCUCAGUGCCCAUCCUGCCCCCACAAUUGGCGUAAGUCGCCAGGAUGUUACGAUGCAGACGGGUAUGGAGCCCUCUGAAGACCUCAGGAGGAACUGAGGAGGAGCAGACUGUGUUUGCCUGUGACAACAGUGGACGUGCCAUGGCAGCACAGGCGGUGACCAGAGUCCAGGAGCUGCGGGAAGAGCUGAAGAUGCUACAGGAGCACAGGAGGUGGACAAGAUCUGGGUGCUGCGGGACGAGACCUCACCUGGAGGAGGCGAUGGCCUGUGAGGACCAGCCCACGACCCCUGAGGUGGCAGAAUUAUUGGGGAAGAAAGGACUAUGGUUCGGAGCUCGCCCAGUGCUGAUGCAGGAAAAGACUGAUGGACUUGGACUGACAAUCCUACCAGAAGGUGGAGGAACUUUGGCAGGGUAAUGUUCUGUUUUGGGGACCCUGGGGGAUGAUGGUAUUGUUUAUACACCCCAGGAGAUGGGAAUUUGGGGGUGGCCAGUGGGCCUCAGUGGCCAAAAGCAGUCUGUGUACUGCCCAGCAGCCAGGCAGAGGAAAAAAAGCCAACUUAGAAAGGCAAAAGCUGGUGCUGAGAUUGGGAAGCCCUGAGUAGCUGCUAAGCAGCCUAAAUAUAUUAAAGAAAACCAGUGUGGGUGAUGCCUUGCUCACUGCUAAGUGAGGAUGAGGAGUUGAGGACCCUGUCCUUGCGGGACAGGUGGGGAACAUUGCUUGUGGUGGAGCCCACAGCCAAAGAGGGGACCCAAGAGAGGUCGCAUGUGGAGCUUGCAUCCACAGAUCCCCAACCUAUGUGCUUGUGUAAUGGGUUGGCCUGAGUGCAGGGGUCUGCGUGUCGCAUUGGUGGCCAUGAAAGCCCAGUGUUGAAGCGACUGUAGACAGAAACCCUGAAGAUUGGGCAAUUACCCCCAAAGAGUAUAGAAUCACCAAUCCAAGAGUGAGUGCAUCCUGGGGGUGGAUGCUGUGUGUGGCUUGUGGGCAAGACCACAGCUGGAUAGUCCUUCCCUCGUAUGGGCAGUGCCUUUGGCAGCGGAAGUGGUGGAUCAUCUGCUGGUGCCAAUAAUCGUCUUUUGCCACUAGGUUGGUGCCCUGCCUGGAAUUAUUUAUGUUCUGUUGUAUUGUUUCAUUAUUCAGUUGUAUUUUCUUUUGUGGGCCAUGGCUGCUGUGUUUGUUAAAGGAAUCUUAUAUAUACUUGUAUAUAGAUUGUAUGGCAGAAAACCCUAAGGGGGUGGAUUGUAGGGUAAAUGGUUUUCAGGCUUUCUGCCCUUCCACCAUUAGGAUUGCCCUGCCUGAUGGGGCACCUGCAGUUGUUACAUUGUUGCAAACUAUCUUGUUUUCUUCCGAGAGCCAUGGUAUAGUCAGGACAGAAGCAGAGGAGAGAGAAGGGGAGAAAGAAAGCCAUAAGAGAGAAAGAGAAGCCCAGAGUGAAGAGUUGCUGGGGCAUGGAGGCCCCCCCAGAACCUCUGCCUGCCGUGUACCUGGUUGCUGCUCUAUAUGUAACAGCUCAAUAAAAGCCUUAGAAAGCCACUGAGGGCUCCAAGACUCUCCUUUACCGUCUGCUGGGUCAGAAAACCUGCUCAGAGUCCGUCCUGCCUCUACAAUCACCAAUCCAAGAGAUUGCCCGGCCUGAUGGGGCACCUGCAGUUGUUACGUUGGUGCAAACUGUCUUACUUACUUCUGUGGGCUGUGGGAGGAGUCACCAAGAGAGUAAAGAAGCAGAAGAAUCAGGUGAGAGAAGGAGAGAAAGAAGAAAGAAGCCAGAGAAGCCCAGAGUGAAGACUUGCCAAGGGCUUGGACACCUACCGGCUUCCUGGCCCCCCCAGCACCCCUGCCUGCCAUGUGCCUGUUUGCCACACUACAUGUAAAGCUCAAUAAAAACCUGAGAAAGCCACUGAGGGCGCCAAGUCUCUCCUUUACCCAUCUGCUGUAUCAUAGAAAACCUGCUCAGUGCCCAUCCUGCCACUACAGUCACCUUCCUCCUAUAAUUCCGAAACCCAAAAGGGGUGCCUUUUGGCUGCAGGUCAGAGAUGACCAAAAAGAGGUGCUUUUCCUGUCAUUCUCUUGCAGGUGGGUAAUGAGGCCUUCACUGCCUACUCAUCCCUGGACUGUGU
Talpa occidentalis (Iberian mole) is the source of this 3750-nucleotide long non-coding RNA. RefSeq lists it as uncharacterized. Lineage: Eukaryota; Metazoa; Chordata; Mammalia; Eulipotyphla; Talpidae. The record is from RefSeq and is a predicted model, not a curated record. The transcript has 3 exons.